Molecule: transfer RNA, 73 nt
Filed under: Blaesodactylus sakalava
Lineage: Eukaryota; Metazoa; Chordata; Lepidosauria; Squamata; Gekkonidae
Description: tRNA-Asn
Source: RNAcentral
UAGACUGAUGCUCGCUGGAUAGAGUACUUAGUUGUUAACUACGCUUUUGCGGGAUCGAGGCCCGCCGGUCUAG